GACGAACGCUGGCGGCGGGCUUAACACAUGCAAGUCGAACGGAAAGGCACUGCUUUCGUGGGGUGCUCGAGUGGCGAACGGGUGAGUAACAGGUGAGUAACCUGCCCUAGACUUUGGGAUAACUUCAGGUAACGGGGGCUAAUAUCGGAUAGGAGCUCCCGCACCAUGGUGGGGGUGGGAAAGUCUCGGCGGGUGGGGAUGGACUCGCGGCUUAUCAGCUAGCUGGUGGGGUAGUGGCUUACCAAGGCUGUGACGGGUAGCCGGCCUGGGAGGGUGACCGGCCACAUUGGGACUGAGAUACGGCCCAGACUCCUACGGGAGGCAGCAGUGGGGAAUAUUGCACAAUGGGCGGAAGCCGGAUGCAGCAACGCCGCGUUCGGGAUGACGGCCUUCGGGUUGCAAACCGCUUUCGCCUGUGACGAAGCGUGAGUGACGGUAAUGGGUGAAGAAGCACCGGCUAACUACGUG
RNAcentral lists this ribosomal RNA (468 nucleotides) under uncultured bacterium. Its description in RNAcentral is "partial 16S ribosomal RNA". It matches the Rfam family "Bacterial small subunit ribosomal RNA", at positions 28 to 507 of the family's 1533-position model. The record is from RNAcentral.